UACGGAGGGCGCAAGCGUUGUUCGGAAUCACUGGGCGUAAAGCGCGUGUAGGCGGCUUGGCAAGUCGGGUGUGAAAUCCCGAGGCUCAACCUCGGAACUGCACUCGAAACUGCCUGGCUCGAGUCCCGGAGAGGGUGGCGGAAUUCCCGGUGUAGGGGUGAAAUCCGUAGAUAUCGGGAGGAACACCAGUUGCGAAGGCGGCCACCUGGACGGUGACUGACGCUGAGACGCGACAGCGUGGGGAGCGAACCGG
RNAcentral lists this ribosomal RNA (253 nucleotides) under uncultured bacterium. RNAcentral's name for it is "partial 16S ribosomal RNA". It matches the Rfam family "Bacterial small subunit ribosomal RNA", at positions 524 to 776 of the family's 1533-position model. The record is from RNAcentral.